RNAcentral lists this ribosomal RNA (490 nucleotides) under uncultured bacterium. Its description in RNAcentral is "partial 16S ribosomal RNA". It matches the Rfam family "Bacterial small subunit ribosomal RNA", at positions 30 to 507 of the family's 1533-position model. The record is from RNAcentral.
UGAACGCUGGCGGUAUGCCUAACACAUGCAAGUCGAACGGCAGCACAGUAAGAGCUUGCUCUUACGGGUGGCGAGUGGCGGACGGGUGAGGAAUACAUCGGAAUCUACUUUUUCGUGGGGGAUAACGUAGGGAAACUUACUCUAAUACCGCAUACGACCUACGGGUGAAAGCAGGGGAUCUUCGGACCUUGCGCGAUUGAAUGAGCCGAUGUCGGAUUAGCUAGUUGGCGGGGUAAAGGCCCACCAAGGCGACGAUCCGUAGCUAGUCUGAGAGGAUGAUCAGCCACACUGGAACUGAGACACGGUCCAGACUCCUACGGGAGGCAGCAGUGGGGAAUAUUGGACAAUGGGCGCAAGCCUGAUCCAGCCAUACCGCGUGGGUGAAGAAGGCCUUCGGGUUGUAAAGCCCUUUUGUUGGGAAAGAAAAGCAGCAGGUUAAUACCCCGCUGUUCUGACGGUACCCAAAGAAUAAGCACCGGCUAACUUCGUG